RNAcentral lists this ribosomal RNA (468 nucleotides) under uncultured bacterium. RNAcentral describes it as "partial 16S ribosomal RNA". It matches the Rfam family "Bacterial small subunit ribosomal RNA", at positions 28 to 507 of the family's 1533-position model. The record is from RNAcentral.
GACGAACGCUGGCGGCGUGCUUAACACAUGCAAGUCGAACGGAAAGGCCCUGCUUUUGUGGGGUGCUCGAGUGGCGAACGGGUGAGUAACACGUGAGUAACCUGCCCUUGACUUUGGGAUAACUUCAGGAAACUGGGGCUAAUACCGGAUAGGAGCUCCUGCUGCAUGGUGGGGGUUGGAAAGUUUCGGCGGUUGGGGAUGGACUCGCGGCUUAUCAGCUUGUUGGUGGGGUAGUGGCUUACCAAGGCUUUGACGGGUAGCCGGCCUGGGAGGGUGACCGGCCACAUGGGGACUGAGAUACGGCCCAGACUCAUACGGGAGGCAGCAGUGGGGAAUAUUGCACAAUGGGCGGAAGCCUGAUGCAGCAACGCCGCGUGCGGGAUGACGGCCUUCGGGUUGUAAACCGCUUUCGCCUGUGACGAAGCGUGAGUGACGGUAAUGGGUAAAGAAGCACCGGCUAACUACGUG